This 91-nucleotide transfer RNA is filed under the name Gammaproteobacteria bacterium. RNAcentral describes it as "tRNA-Ser". It matches the Rfam family "tRNA". Rfam says of the family: Transfer RNA (tRNA) molecules are approximately 80 nucleotides in length. Their secondary structure includes four short double-helical elements and three loops (D, anti-codon, and T loops). The record is from RNAcentral. Lineage: Bacteria; Pseudomonadati; Pseudomonadota; Gammaproteobacteria. RNAcentral also lists the same sequence under 1 other name.
GGAGAGGUGUCCGAGUGGUUGAAGGAGCACGCCUGGAAAGUGUGUAUAGGUUAAUAGCCUAUCGAGGGUUCGAAUCCCUCCCUCUCCGCCA